RNAcentral lists this ribosomal RNA (465 nucleotides) under uncultured Klebsiella sp. RNAcentral describes it as "bacterial SSU rRNA". It matches the Rfam family "Bacterial small subunit ribosomal RNA", at positions 338 to 795 of the family's 1533-position model. The record is from RNAcentral. Lineage: Bacteria; Pseudomonadati; Pseudomonadota; Gammaproteobacteria; Enterobacterales; Enterobacteriaceae.
CCUACGGGCGGCUGCAGUGGGGAAUAUUGCACAAUGGGCGCAAGCCUGAUGCAGCCAUGCCGCGUGUGUGAGGAAGGCCUUCGGGUUGUAAAGCACUUUCAGCGGGGAGGAAGGCGGUGAGGUUAAUAACCUCAUCGAUUGACGUUACCCGCAGAAGAAGCACCGGCUAACUCCGUGCCAGCAGCCGCGGUAAUACGGAGGGUGCAAGCGUUAAUCGGAAUUACUGGGCGUAAAGCGCACGCAGGCGGUCUGUCAAGUCGGAUGUGAAAUCCCCGGGCUCAACCUGGGAACUGCAUUCGAAACUGGCAGGCUAGAGUCUUGUAGAGGGGGGUAGAAUUCCAGGUGUAGCGGUGAAAUGCGUAGAGAUCUGGAGGAAUACCGGUGGCGAAGGCGGCCCCCUGGACAAAGACUGACGCUCAGGUGCGAAAGCGUGGGGAGCAAACAGGAUUAGAUACCCGAGUAGUC